UUUCUUCCGUUCUCUCACUCACUCCCAAUCUCUCACAAUUUCACCCUCUUGAUCAAACCUCUCACUCUCUCUAUCUUUAUCUUUUGCUCUAAAAUUCAAUCUCUCUAUCUUUUUUACUCUCACUCUCACUUUCUCACUCUCCAAUCUAUCCAUUCUCAGGUUGGCUGACCGAAACCCUAGAUCUAUAUCAAAACCCUAGCUCUCACCAUUACUCUGCAGUGGGCCGGUGGCUGCGAGACCAUCAACAGCCUUAAUUCCCAUCAUCUUGUCAUCAACCACCAUGUUAAUUCUCAGGUGAGGUAGCUCCGUGGCUUGUGGUUGUGGCUGUGUUGUGCUCGUGUGUGGCUCUGUGAUUAAAGCUACGAUAACGGUAAGUUGUUCUGUUCUCUCAAACUCUAACUAGUUGUGGUUGUGGAUGGAUAAAGUGUGGUUGAAUUGUCUCUGUGAACUGUUGUAUCGUAGUAUGUUUCUUUCAGAGCUAAAUUGUAUCUGUGAAAUGUUGAAUUGCUUCUAAAAUAGUUUAAUUAUGACAGUUCAUAUGGUUUUAAAGUAGUUUUAGUGUGAGAGUUCAUAUAUUUUUAAAAUGCUGAAUUGUGAAUUGUAUCUCCGAAUUGUCUUUGAAACUCUAUUUUUAUGAGUUUUGAAUUUAAAUCGUGAGAUUGCUUGCAUUUCAGAGUUUUUGUGACUCCAAAAUUUUUGAAAUUGCAAUUUUAAACAGGUUAGUUUACAUUUUAGAGUCUUUGUGAUUCUGAAUUCCUAAAAUUGAAUUUUAAAAAGGUUAGCUUUCAUUUAAGAGUCUUUUGACUCUGAAUUUUGAAAUUGUUGUUUAAUUUGUAGUUUUUGUGGAAUUGCGAAUUAUUUUGCAAUUUCUGAAUAUUGUGGAAUAUUAUGGAAUUGUAGUUGAAUUUGGAACUGUUUAAACAAGUUAUUUGCAUGUUUGUAGUUGCAAUUGUGCAAUUUUAAAAUGGUUAGCUUACAUUUCAGAGUUUUUGUGACUCUGAAAUUUGUAAAUUGCUGUUUAAUUUGUAAUUUUUGUGGAAUUGUUGAAUAUUGUGCAGUUUUUGAAUAUUGUGGAAUUUUUUGAGUACUAGAAGUCUAAGAGACAGUAAUUUUUAAAAGUGAGAGGAAUUUUUUUUAGUGCAAUUUCUAAUUGCUAACCAUUAUUGAGUAAUAGGAGUCUAAGAGACAGUAAUUUUUUCAAAGCUUUAAAAUCAUCUCUCUUUAUUUCCAUUUCACUGCAUCACAGUCGGUAUAUGUAUUUGAAACAGAUGGAUCCACAUUUUUGAAAUUGCUGUUAAAUUUAUUGUAAUUUAAUUGGAUUGAGAUUGUGGAAUUUGUGGCCUUAAACUGUAGUGUAAUUGCUGUUUUUUUUUUGUUUGUUUCCUCUCAUGUAAGCAGUGUCUUAGAUAUGCUUGAUAUGGACCUAGAUUCCCCAUCAUCAAUUAAUGCAUCUUCCUCUCAAACCCCAAUAGGUCAGAGUUAAUCACAACCACUGUCAAAACCUGCAUCGUCUUAUGCCAAAUCAACAUUACCUCCAUGACCUCCAUUAGGGGAAAAAAAAAAAACCUUCUAGGUCAGCAAGUGAUAUAUGGAAUCACUUUGUUAAAAUAGAAGAUAGUGAUCCUGAUGAUUUUAGAUGUGAAUGCAUAUACUGCCAUAACGAUUAUGCAUGUGGUUCUAAGAAAUGUGGAACUAGUACCCUAAGGAACCAUUUGAAGCAAUGUUUAAAAAAUCCUUUUAAAGUAGAUGAAAAGAAGCAAAAGACCUUAAAUUGUGAUAGGAAGUCUGAUGGUAAUGGUAGUAAUUUGGUAGCUACAGUUUUCAACAAAGAGGCAUGUAGGAUGACAUGUGCUAAAAUGAUAAUAUUGGAUGAGUUGCCUUUUACUUUUGUAGAAGGCCGUGGGUUUAGACGCUUUUGUAGUGUUGCAUGUCCUAAGUUUGAUCCCCCAUUUAGAAGAAUCAUUGUAAGGGACAUUUAUCAAUGUACUUGGAUGAGAAGUUGGCUUUAAGAUCAAUGUUUGUUGCAAAGCAACAAAGAGUCAAUCUUAUAACUGAUACAUAGACUUUUAUUCAAAAUGUUUGUUAUAUAUCAUUGACUGCCCAUUAUGUUGAUGAUGAUUGGAGGUUACAUAAAAGAAUUUUAAGUUUUUGUGUGGUUCCUAAUCAUAAAAGAGAGGCUGCAUGAUUGGGGUAUUGAAAAAGUAUUCACAAUAACCUUUGAUAAUGCAAGUGCAAACAAUAAUGUAAUUGCAUAUCUUAAGAGGAAAAUGGUACAUUGGAAAAGUUGUGUAUUGGAUGCUGAUUUUUUGCAUAGUCGAUGUAGUGCACACAUUGUGAACUUGAUUGUGUGUGAGGCUUUAAAAGAAUUAGAUAACUCAAUUGUUAGCAUUUGUAAUACUGUGAGAUAUGUUAGAUCCUCUCCUUCUCGAUUGCAAAAAUUUAAAGAGUGUAUAAGUCAAGAGAAAAUUGAUAGUAAAAUUUUAGUAUGUUUGGAUGUUCCAACUAGAUGGAACUCCACAUACUUAAUAUUAUAGUAGGCUUUGAAAUUUCAAAAAGCCUUUAAGAGAAUGGAGGAGGAAGAUGGACAUUAUGCUUCCUAUUUUGGAGAGGAUGAUAGUGGUAGAAAGAAGGUUGGACCUCCUUUAGCUUAGCAUUGUGAUGAUGCUAAAGUUUUUAUCCAAUUUCUUAAAGGCUUUUAUGAUGUGACUCUUAAAUUUAGUGCCUUUUUACAUGUUACCUCCAACAUAUAUUUCCAUCAAGUUUCUUCCAUACAAAAACAAUUGGCUGUCUUGUGUGUUAGUGAGGAUGACUGGCUGUGUGUUAUGGCAAGGAAAAUGAGAGAAAAGUAUAAUAAAUAUUGGGGUUCCAUGGGAAAUAUCAAUAAAUUGCUUCUAGUUGCAGCAAUGUUUGAUCCAAGAUAUAAGUUAGAUUAUGUCUCAUUUAGCUAUAGGAUGCUUUAUGACAAUGAAGAAAGCAUAGUUACUGAAUUGACAAGUGGUUUGAAAAAUACUUUAAUGGGGUUGGUAUAAUGAAAAAGAAAUGGGUUCAGACAAUUGUUGCCAAUCUUCCAUUGGUGUUGAGUCUUGUGGAACUAGUUUGGAUAGUAAUAGCAGUAGAUUAGAACAGACCAACUAUGCUGACCAGGUUUGGAUUGCUUAUUUAAAAAGAGAGAACAAGGCCAAUGUCAGGAGGUCAAAUGUAAUAGCCUAGACCACCCGCAUGUGGAUAUUGUCCGCUUUGGGUCUAGCCCGCACGGUUUUGUCAAAAUACAUCCACAAGGGAAAGGUAUCCACACGCUUAUAGGUCAUGUUUCGUUCCCCUUUCCAACCGAUGUGGGACUUCACAAUCCUCCUCCCUUGGGGUCCAGCGUCCUCGCUGGCACACCGAUCCGGGUACUUGCUUUGAUACCAACUGUAAUAGCCCAAACCAUCCGCAUGUGGAUAUUGUUCGUUUUGGGCCCAGCCCGCACGAUUUUGUUAAAAUGCGUUUACAAGGGAAAGGUAUCCACACGUUUAUAAGCAAUGCUUCGUUCUCCUUUCCAACCGAUGUGGGACUUCACAUUAAAAAUGAUGUUGAUAGGUAUCUAGCUGACCCUUGUAAAUCUGGUUUAAAUAAGGAUUUUGAUAUUCUAAAUUGGUGGAGGGUUAAUGGAGAGAAAUACCUUGUGUUAGAGAAGAUAGCAAAGGAUGUAUACGCUAUUCAAGUCUCUACUGUGGCUUCCGAGAAUGCUUUUAGUACUGGAGGCAGGAUACUUGAUCCUUAGCAGUUCUUUGACUGUUAAAAUGGUGGAGGCUUUGAUAUGUUGUCAAAAUUGGCUUAAUGCUUCUCCAAGUUUGGACAGAUUUUUUUUAGAAGAGAUGGCAUGUUAUGAAAGUUUAGAUGCAGACUUAUGCCAAAGCCAAACAGUGACAGCAUAUCCGAAUAGCAGCAACAAAAAGGAUUGAUUGUGCACUAUGGAGUGGAUGGACAGCGGCAACAAAAAGGAUUGAUGCCAAAGCCAAACUUGAAAGCUUUUGACAAUGAUGAAAGCUUUGUGACAGUGGCAGUGGAGGUUUUGGUAAUGGCAGUGGCAAUAAGAGAGUGGCUUUGGAUUUUUGAAGGGUUUGAUAGUGGCAAUAGGAGAAUGGUAGUGGCUGUUGGAAUGGUAGUGACAGUGACACUUUGGAAUUCUAAUUUGUUAUUUUGAUUUUUGUAUUUUGUGUUUGCAUUUCUCAUUCUCUUUUUUGGCCGUGACAAUUGCAAACUAGCAGUGGCAUUGCAUUUCUUAAUUUUCAAUUUUCCCUUUGAUAUAUGUUGAAUUCUUGAUCAAUUUGUAUUUGUAUUAUUAAACAUGACAUUAGUAUUUUAAAUUUGUAUCUGUAGUGUCUUGUAAGCCUGUAAUAUUUAGUUAAAUGCUUGUAUUUGAUUAUUUAUAAUUUAUUAUACUUGAGAGAGA
Ziziphus jujuba (common jujube) is the source of this 4435-nucleotide long non-coding RNA. RefSeq lists it as uncharacterized. Lineage: Eukaryota; Viridiplantae; Streptophyta; Magnoliopsida; Rosales; Rhamnaceae. The transcript has 4 exons. The record is from RefSeq and is a predicted model, not a curated record.